Molecule: long non-coding RNA, 532 nt
Filed under: Mustela putorius furo (domestic ferret)
Lineage: Eukaryota; Metazoa; Chordata; Mammalia; Carnivora; Mustelidae
Description: lncRNA (ENSMPUG00000024084.1)
Source: RNAcentral
GGAAAAAAAGGCCACAGAAAUGGCAUUGGCCCAUCUGAAGAAGCUCCCGUACCAGAAAGGAUAGGAAAGCCGAAGUCCAGAGGGCUCUGAAAGGAUGCAUUUAUCUGGCAGGCUGCAUUCUUCAGGCACCAUGAAUGAACCAGAUCAUGCUUGCUUUUUGCCCACAGAUCCACCUGGUCAAUCCAGUUGUCCCAGCUGAAUUGCAGAAGACAUGCAUCAGGAUAUCCAGCUGCUCGUUCUGAGACUUCCACUCACUGGCUGUGCGCGGUCACCUUCCUGCUCUGAGCAUCAAUCUCCUAGGAUCUGUAAAGAGGAAGGAACACUUCUAGGUCUAAAAACGCUGCGCUCCAUGCUCACCCAACCUGUGACUGAGUGUUUCUAUCUCUGGUGCACGGCCCUGUUUGGAGUCUCCAAACCCAACAGAUUCCUGCUGAGUGUUCCCACGCUGCUCCUUCCAGAGGAGAAAGAGGGGGGUCUCCCAGAUCUGCCACUUGUGGGGUCCCUGCCUGAAGAGUAGUGGCCUAACUGUGCC